This 324-nucleotide unclassified non-coding RNA is filed under the name soil metagenome. RNAcentral describes it as "partial contains 5.8S ribosomal RNA, internal transcribed spacer 2, and large subunit ribosomal RNA". The stretch from base 1 to 120 matches the Rfam family "5.8S ribosomal RNA", at positions 35 to 154 of the family's 154-position model. The record is from RNAcentral.
GAUGAAGAACGUAGCGAAAUGCGAUAAGUAGUGUGAAUUGCAGAAUUCAGUGAAUCAUCGAAUCUUUGAACGCACAUUGCGCCCCUUGGUAUUCCAUGGGGCAUGCCUGUUCGAGCGUCAUUUGUACCUUCAAGCUUUGCUUGGUGUUGGGUGUUUGUCCCUCGGGACUCGCCUUAAAGUCAUUGGCAGCCAGUGUUUUGGUUUUGAAGCGCAGCACAAGUCGCGAUUCAAGGCUAUCCGCCCGCUUCCACAAGCCUUUUUCACUUUUGACCUCGGAUCAGGUAGGGAUACCCGCUGAAAUUAAGCAUAUCAAUAAGCGGAGGA